RNAcentral lists this ribosomal RNA (253 nucleotides) under uncultured bacterium. RNAcentral describes it as "partial 16S ribosomal RNA". It matches the Rfam family "Bacterial small subunit ribosomal RNA", at positions 524 to 776 of the family's 1533-position model. The record is from RNAcentral.
UACAGGGGGUGCAAACGUUGCUCGGAAUCAUUGGGCGUAAAGCGCACGUAGGCGGUUCGUUAUGUCGGAUGUGAAAGCCCUUGGCUUAACCGAGGAAGUGCAUCCGAAACUGGCGAGCUAGAGUACGAAAGAGGAUCGCGGAAUUCCCGGUGUAGAGGUGAAAUUCGUAGAUAUUGGGAGGAACAUCGGUGGCGAAGGCGGCCAUCUGGGAAGCGACUGACGCUGAGACGCGAAAGCGUGGGUAGCAAACAGG